Molecule: ribosomal RNA, 562 nt
Filed under: Engyodontium aranearum
Lineage: Eukaryota; Fungi; Ascomycota
Also listed under: 1 other name
Description: eukaryotic LSU rRNA
Rfam family: Eukaryotic large subunit ribosomal RNA
Source: RNAcentral
AAACCAACAGGGAUUGCCCCAGUAACGGCGAGUGAAGCGGCAACAGCUCAAAUUUGAAAUCUGGUCCCCAGGGCCCGAGUUGUAAUUUGUAGAGGAUGCUUUUGGCGCGGUGCCUUCCGAGUUCCCUGGAACGGGACGCCAUAGAGGGUGAGAGCCCCGUCUGGUCGGAUACCUAGCCUCUGUAAAGCUCCUUCGACGAGUCGAGUAGUUUGGGAAUGCUGCUCAAAAUGGGAGGUAUAUGUCUUCUAAAGCUAAAUAUUGGCCAGAGACCGAUAGCGCACAAGUAGAGUGAUCGAAAGAUGAAAAGCACUUUGAAAAGAGGGUUAAAAAGUACGUGAAAUUGUUGAAAGGGAAGCGCCUAUGACCAGACUUGGGCCCGGUGAAUCAUCCAGCGUUCUCGCUGGUGCACUUUGCCGGGCACAGGCCAGCAUCAGUUUGGCGCGGGGGAUAAAGGCUUUGGGAAUGUGGCUCCCUCGGGAGUGUUAUAGCCCAUUGUGUAAUACCCUGCGCCGGACUGAGGUACGCGCAUUGCAAGGAUGCUGGCGUAAUGGUCAUCAGCGAC